CCCGCCCAAGAAGAAGGCAGAGAGCCUGCAAGCUCCUGCUGGCACACUUUCUCCUCCUGAGGGACUAGUUCUGCCAUUUAUUUAGAAGCCAUGUUUAUGGAGGUAGAAUUGUUUACAGAGUAGAAGUCAUCCUUUUGAAUGUGCAGAUCAGUGAGAUUUGACAAAUACAUUCAGCAGUGGAACCACCAUCACGAUAGAGUUUCCUUGUGAGUCUUUGGAGUCCAUUCUCUCCCCCAGCGGCAGCUCGUGGCGGCCACUGCUUGCUUUUCCCAGCGUGUCAGACAGAUGGGCUCAUACGUUGCAAAUGUCGCCGUGAUAAGAUCAGUAUUUAGAACCCUGGUGACAUCGCUGCCGUGCUGAGCUGCCAGUCGAGGGAGAUCUCAGGAAUGUCUGAACAUGCCUGUGUAAUCAGAACCCAGAAAAAGGAAAAGAGCAUUCUUCACCACACAGAAGUCCUGAGGGCUGACCAUCAAACCUACUUAGAAAUAAGACCUUGAAUAGGCUGAAUAUGAUCCCGGAAGGAGGCAGCACCAGCAGGAACCAGGCGUUGUCCACUCAGAGUCACUCCCCAGGGCACCCUGCCUCCUUCUUUCUCUUUGUCCUUGUUAUGUAAAAUGUGUUUCACUGUCAACCUGAUUUUUAUUCUAGAAGGAUAA
This is a long non-coding RNA of Piliocolobus tephrosceles (Ugandan red Colobus), 656 nucleotides long. RefSeq lists it as uncharacterized. Lineage: Eukaryota; Metazoa; Chordata; Mammalia; Primates; Cercopithecidae. The record is from RefSeq and is a predicted model, not a curated record. The transcript is spliced from 5 exons.